CCUACGGGUGGCAGCAGUGAGGAAUAUUGGUCAAUGGCCGCAAGUCUGAACCAGCCAAGCCGCGUGAAGGACGACGGCGCCAAGCGUUGUAAACUGCUUUUGUCAAGGGAUAAAAGCAGAUUCGUGUGUCUGACUGAGAGUACUUUAAGAAUAAGCAUCGGCUAACUCCGUGCCAGCAGCCGCGGUAAUACGGAGGAUUCAAGCGUUAUCCGGAUUUAUUGGGUUUAAAGGGUGCGUAGGCGGACCGUUAAGUUAGCGGUGAAAGCCCGGGGCUCAACUCCGGCAGUGCCUCUGAAACUGGCUGUCUUGAGAGGACGAGCGGUAGGCGGAAUG
This 333-nucleotide ribosomal RNA is filed under the name uncultured bacterium. RNAcentral's name for it is "partial 16S ribosomal RNA". It matches the Rfam family "Bacterial small subunit ribosomal RNA", at positions 338 to 668 of the family's 1533-position model. The record is from RNAcentral.